This 26-nucleotide non-coding RNA is filed under the name Cricetulus griseus (Chinese hamster). Lineage: Eukaryota; Metazoa; Chordata; Mammalia; Rodentia; Cricetidae. The record is from RNAcentral.
AAUGGGAAGUACAAGAUAAACAAGGG